AUUUUUCCUCAUAGAUCCUUCAGAAUUGUCUUGAUAACAACAGUGAAGUCUUUUUCAGAAUGUCAGAUUGGGAAGGGACCUGAUGGAUCAUCAGAUCUAAUUGUGCCAACUGACAGGCAAGGAAACUGAGGCACGAGUACAAGGAUUUCUUCAUCGGACCAGUAACAGAAAUCAAUUGAGCGUAUUUCUUUCUGCAAAAUGAAUCUUUCCAUGGGUCAAGGGGAGAAGCAGAUGAGGAAAGAGGACUUUGUAAGAAGUUUCACCUGUUUUAAACUCCAGCUGAUCUUACAGGUUUGUUGAAUAAAUGGAUUGAUGGAGAAGCAAUUGCUUCUGGAUCUGAGACACAGAUGGGCAUUCCAGUUGGAGGUGCUAGUUCAGACAAGACUACAUUUUAAGGUUUAGAAAGAUCAGAAGACAAAGAUGGACUUAAUAAGGUCUGUUUGAGUAAAGAACUGAUAUCCUCCAAAGAAAGAAAAUCCUAAAAUUCAGUCCUAGAAGUAUCUGUGACACGUAAAUCUCUGAAGCUAAGUAUGGGAUAAAGUGGGACUUUUGAAAGACUCAUCAAUUUAAAAAAGAAAGGGGAAAAAUCAUUCUACAACUUGACACCUAAGUUCUCUUGCUGCCAAGUACAUCCUGUCAGUGCUGGCGCUGAAGUGAGGGCAUAUUUAAAGAGUGCCAAUGGGAGAAGAGCAUGCCAAACUAAUGUUGGAAAUUGCUUAAAUUAAAUGUUCUUGCCAAUUGGGUUUUUCAUCACAAUAAGGGGAAGGGAAGCUUAAUGCAGAAAACCAUCUCUAGUAGGUACAUAUUUAUAAAUACAGGAUUGUUAUUAUACUAAUGAGAGUCAUGUGAGAUGCAGGAUGAAAAUUACUUGCAGGCAAUUAAAACAGAUAAUCCUUGCUUUUUUUUGGUUCCUUUCAAAUGCUGACCUUUAGCCUUCUCCUUGCAAAUAAAUACUUUUGAGGAUAAUACUCA
Molecule: long non-coding RNA, 972 nt
Filed under: Monodelphis domestica (gray short-tailed opossum)
Lineage: Eukaryota; Metazoa; Chordata; Mammalia; Didelphimorphia; Didelphidae
Description: lncRNA (ENSMODG00000049718.1)
Source: RNAcentral